GCAUAUCAAUAAGCGGAGGAAAAGAAACCAACAGGGAUUGCCCCCAGUAACGGCGAGUGAAGCGGCAACAGCUCAAAUUUGAAAUCUGGCUUCGGCCCGAGUUGUAAUUUGUAGAGGAUGCUUUUGGUGAGGUGCCUUCUGAGUUCCCUGGAACGGGACGCCACAGAGGGUGAGAGCCCCGUAUAGUUGGACACCGAGCCUCUGUAAAGCUCCUUCGACGAGUCGAGUAGUUUGGGAAUGCUGCUCAAAAUGGGAGGUAUAUCUCUUCUAAAGCUAAAUACUGGCCAGAGACCGAUAGCGCACAAGUAGAGUGAUCGAAAGAUGAAAAGCACUUUGAAAAGAGGGUUAAAUAGUACGUGAAAUUGUUGAAAGGGAAGCGCUUGUGACCAGACUUGUGCCGGGCUGAUCAUCCAGUGUUCUCACUGGUGCACUCUGCCCGGCUCAGGCCAGCGUCGGUUCUCGCAGGGGGAUAAAAGCGGCGGGAACGUGGCUCCUCCGGGAGUGUUAUAGCCCGCCGCUCAAUACCCUUGCGGGGACCGAGGUUCGCGCUCCGGCAUGGACGCUGGCAUAAUGGUCAUCAGCGGCCCGUCUUGAAACACGGACCAAGGAGUCGAGGUUUUGCGCGAGUGUUUGGGUGUCAAACCCGCACGCGUAAUGAAAGUGAACGUAGGUGAGAGCUUCGGCGCAUCAUCGACCGAUCCUGAUGUAUUCGGAUGGAUUUGAGUAAGAGCGUUAAGCCUCGGACCCGAAAGAUGGUGAACUAUGCCUGAAUAGGGUGAAGCCAGAGGAAACUCUGGUGGAGGCUCGCAGCGGUUCUGACGUGCAAAUCGAUCGUCAAAUUUGGGCAUGGGGGCGAAAGACUAAUCGAACCAUCUAGUAGCUGGUUACCGCCGA
This 894-nucleotide ribosomal RNA is filed under the name Coniochaeta ellipsoidea. Its description in RNAcentral is "LSU rRNA". It matches the Rfam family "Eukaryotic large subunit ribosomal RNA", at positions 38 to 964 of the family's 3401-position model. Lineage: Eukaryota; Fungi; Ascomycota; Sordariomycetes; Coniochaetales; Coniochaetaceae. The record is from RNAcentral.